UCCUAAGACUUAAUACCUAGUAUCAACUGGGCUUUAAAAACACUUUAUAUUUCCUAUAAAUAAAACAAGUAGUACUCUGACAAGGUGUAGUGGGGUGGUUACCCCGCUCCUGACAUAAGAGGCAUGAGAACAGUUUGGGGAAGCUGACUGAGUAACUGACCACAGGUGUGGCCAGCUCAUUCAGGGCCCAGCUGGCUCUGAUAAGAGGGCUGUGGGCCAGGAACUGAGAGAGUCUUACUCUAUCCCUGAAGUGGGAAGGGCUAGCUGCCUGGGAGUUAGGUACUUGAGAUGGAGCAGUGCUGGGGAAGGGUAAAGGAAGUUGGGGAGCUCCAGCCUGGUAAACCCCCAGGCUGCAGGCUUUGUUGAAGGCCUACAAAAGAUUACUGAAACACACAGACAAGUUUCCCCUUUCAUAGCUGCAAGUGUUAAGAUCUUUCUUGUCUUGGAAUUUCUAUUACUUAUGGUAGAAGACUGUCCUCAGUAGAAGUGAAGAAUGUAAAAGGAGAUAAAUUAAAAUUGAUUAGCUGACCAACAGAAGAAAAGAGAAGAACUGCGCAUUCAUCCAAAUAUUCUAGCUCUUCUAGCAGAGGAGUGUCCACCAUUUCCUUAAUUGCUUUUUAAUUCCUCUCCAGAGCUUUGGAUGGGGUGGAGUGGGAACCCCCUGCUUUUGCAGUAUUGUUAACAAUAAAAGUCAUCAUUAUGAUCUGACAUUGGAAAAAAAAUCAGCUGGAAGUUAACCCUCUAACCUUCUUAUAGACUGCCAAGGUUUAAAGAGACUGUGUCUUUGAAACAGCAUUAAUUAAAUUGUGUACAGCAACUUGAGGUGUCUGCAUAAAAUGCUACAAAAUCAAGUCCACUUCAAAUGCUCAAUCUGCAAGUUGCCAAGAACCUUCUUAGAGAAGCUCUCAAUUCCCACUGACUUCUGUUUGUACGUUAUAUAUUCUCAAGGAGCUUCUGCAUCAGUCUUACGGAUGGUGCUGAGCAUGUUCAUCUCUCAUUGACUUUCUGGGCAUUGAAGGUUUGCUACUACACAGGAGAUGAUCAAUGCCUGGCAGAAUUGCUAAUUAAAGACCUGAUCAUGCACCGCAUGGAAGAACUCCAACUGUCUCUGAUGGGAGCAAGAUUAGUCCCUAAAUGUGCUUACAAGGCCUUUUACUGGACACUUGAACAGCUCCUGUUCAACUAUACCUUGAGGAGUGGCAGAGUGACAGUAGUAUGUCCAUUUGGAAAGCUGAAAAGGAGACAGAGGUGCCUACCGACAAGACUGGAGGCUGUUGAGCAACAGCUGCUUGUUGUAUUUUGCACAACAGCUAUGAGAGCAAGGGAGAGACCCUCCCUGAUGGGUGGGAAGCAGAGGUGCACAGCCUUUGGGAAUGUUAUGAGCAGCCAGCAGAAAGGCUGCCUCUGCAGACUGCAGCAAACAAUCAGGAAUGCCCCGUGCUUCCACUUGGACGCUAGAAAGUAAAAUGAAAUUUUAUUAUGCAUUAUGUAAGGAUUUCAUUAGUCUGUCUGUAAAAUUUGAUGAAAUGCAAUUUUGUUAUGCUUUGCACAAUGAUUCCAUGCAAGGACAUUUUGUAAUGCUGUUUAGCACAUGUGAUUUGAUGAAAUUGUAUUGAACCUCUGUCAAUAAUAUAGUGAAUGUAAAGUAGUGAAGUUAAUAAAAACCUUCACUGAAUAUAACACAAAGUUAGACUAGUGGAAUAUAAACUACAACAAAGAAUAGUGCAACCUUUUAUGGAACAUAGUGCAGAUGUGACAUACAUGCCUAAAGUGCUGUCCUGGUCACAAAUGUGUGUGCAUCCAGGGCUUCUGACUGCUGUCCUAGCCUUCAAUCAGUGGUUUGUGUGCCUCCUCAUGGCUGGGCCUAGUGUAGCACCUCCUCUAUCUCAGUCAGG
Molecule: long non-coding RNA, 1895 nt
Organism: Mauremys reevesii (Reeves's turtle)
Lineage: Eukaryota; Metazoa; Chordata; Testudines; Geoemydidae
Exons: 3
Source: RefSeq, a predicted model, not a curated record